CUGUCUCUCUCACGGGUUCAGCUCUUCCAGAUAGAGUCCAAAGAAGUAAAAUCCAAAGUAAAGGGUUUUCCCCUUCCUCUAAUCUCAUCUGACAUAUUAAUUUUUGAUUCAUCAGUGAACCAUUUCCUUUUACUGCUUCGGUCAUGGACUCAUGUGGUCAUGAAAACGAUCUGAGAAAGGCAGUCACUAUGUGGUAUUAAUGAUCAAAUAGCCUUUGAAUGGCAGGGAUAGCUCUGUUUUUGGAUCUUCUGAGCAAAAAUCCGUCUUGUUUCGACCUAAACCCUGCAUUCUUAUGGGUUAUUCUACGCUUCUGUUGAUGCUUCUGAUGCCACUGCUUCUGUUGCAGCUGGAAGCUCUUUUGCUUCUAGGUUUUCAUUGGGACUUCGCAGAAGAGCAGCCCGUUAAUUUGGUUGUCCCCUUCAAAGAAUUCAUCAAUUAAAUCAUUUUUAAGGGCGUUCUCAUUCCUUACAAUUAUCAAAUUGGAGUUGAAAUCAGUGGUUGGAUCCAGCAACCAGAGAAACAUUGAAAGAUAGAACUGGUUCAACCAGAGAUGAUGUAGAAUUUGAUAAAGUUAAGUAGAUUAGAUAUAUAGAUAUAUAGAUGUAUAUAUAUUUUUUUAACUACACUAUCCUGCUGAACACUGCUGGCCAAGGGCCAGCCUACUGGGUGCUAGUAGGGCUAAGAGCCACUUACUCCUACACACACUCACCAACACACAAUUGCAUAUGACAUGGUUCGAUCUCACAACCUCCUCCCCUGGCGCCGGCUAAGUAGAUCAAUAAAUCUAAUCUCAAAGGAAAGAGUGAUAUUCUAAUAUCUCUGCUGAAAUCUUAAAAGGUUGGGGUAUAAUUUGUUUGCCUAUCAUGGCCUAACUGGUUCAGCCACAUAUGUCUUUUAGUAAGGAUCUACACUCUUUAGUUCUUUACCUACUGGGGGCAUUUAUAACAUUUCUUUUUUUCAAAAUGGAGUAGGAAUUUAGGUGUUCACUGAUCAGCUACAACAUAUUGGUUUUUCCUUACCAUAGUUCUUACUGUAAUUUAAGAGGAUUUUGAUGUGUUUUUUGUUUAUUCUAUUUAGGAUUUUGUAAGAUCUGUCCACCAGCCUUUGUUCCUUCUCCUUGGAAAAAUAAGAGAUUCUUAAAGUAUGUAUGGUAAGUCUUGAAGGGAAUCUGAAUACAGACUAAAGCUGCUGGAAAGACUGUCUAUUAUGUGCCCCAGCAUAUGGCAUGGAAACUACUGAAAGGUUACUUGCUUGGAGUCUAACCAUCGUGGCAUACCCAAGUAAGAAUUUAGAUAUACUGAUGCCUCUCUCAUAUUUCCAAUGAUGAAGAGGAGGAUGAUAAGGUUGCUAAAGCUGAAAAAAUGGGUUCUUGGAAAGAAGCUUUCUGAAGCGACUAUUAGAUGUGGGGCAUCCAUGGUCUUUGCUUCCACUUAAAGUGAGGUUGGUGCCACCCUUUUCCAAUCUUCAUCAUGGCAAUAGAUUGAAACGACAAAAACAUUAUCAAACGGGCCCUUGAUUUCAAGGGAUUUUGGGUCUUCAUGAGUCCCAGAUCAUGACAACAGCAAUCACCCCGACACCAAAUAGCACGGCGAGGAACCUCGCAUG
Long non-coding RNA from Macadamia integrifolia, 1605 nucleotides. RefSeq lists it as uncharacterized. NCBI's taxonomy places the organism in Eukaryota, Viridiplantae, Streptophyta, Magnoliopsida, Proteales, Proteaceae. The record is from RefSeq and is a predicted model, not a curated record. The transcript is spliced from 5 exons.